Molecule: ribosomal RNA, 435 nt
Filed under: uncultured Desulfobulbus sp.
Lineage: Bacteria; Pseudomonadati; Thermodesulfobacteriota; Desulfobulbia; Desulfobulbales; Desulfobulbaceae
Description: bacterial SSU rRNA
Rfam family: Bacterial small subunit ribosomal RNA
Source: RNAcentral
CGAUGCAACGCGAAGAACCUUACCUGGUCUUGACAUCCCGGAGACCCUUAGGAAACUAGGGGUGCUUCCAUCUGGAAGAAUCUGGAGACAGGUGCUGCAUGGCUGUCGUCAGCUCGUGUCGUGAGAUGUUGGGUUAAGUCCCGCAACGAGCGCAACCCUUGCCUUUAGUUGCCAGCAGUUCGGCUGGGCACUCUAAAGGGACUGCCGGUGUUAAACCGGAGGAAGGUGGGGAUGACGUCAAGUCCUCAUGGCCUUUAUGACCAGGGCUACACACGUACUACAAUGGCCGAUACAAAGGGCAGCGACACUGCGAGGUGAAGCCAAUCCCGUAAAAUCGGUCUCAGUCCGGAUUGGAGUCUGCAACUCGACUCCAUGAAGUUGGAAUCGCUAGUAAUCGUGGAUCAGUAUGCCACGGUGAAUACGUUCCCGGGCCUU